This 43352-nucleotide long non-coding RNA is filed under the name Lactuca sativa (garden lettuce). RNAcentral describes it as "long non-coding RNA (LSAT_LNC004572)". The record is from RNAcentral. Lineage: Eukaryota; Viridiplantae; Streptophyta; Magnoliopsida; Asterales; Asteraceae.
CUAAUGGCUCCUUUACCCUUAUGAACUUGUGUGGGAAAGUCACCUUUGAUGGAUCCAACUUCAAUGAGUGGAUCAGAAACAUCAGGAUGAUUACCCGCUACGAGGACAAAGAAUAUGUCCUUGACAAGGAGCUUAAGGAGAUUGAUGAGUCCACUGCAACUCCUCAGGAGAUCGCUGAAUUUCGGGCACAUGAAAGGGAUGCUACGAAAGUGGCUUGCAUCAUGAUGGCCACGAUGACAGCGGAACUCCAAAAGUCUUAUGAGGAUUUCUACCCUUAUGACAUGCACCAAGAUUUGAUGGAAAGAUACCAUCAAAGUGCAAGACAAGAGAGGUAUGAAAUCAUCUGCUCCAUGAUAACAACCAUGAUGAAGGACGGGGAAUCCGUCACGAGCCACAUGCAGAAAAUGCAAAGGUAUGUGGAUCGUUUGCUGAAGCUUAAUGUGAACUUCCCGGAGGAUCUUGCAAUAGAUAUUAUUUUGCAUUCCUUACCAUCGUGCUAUGAUCAAUUCCGCAUGACAUAUCACAUGAACAAGGAAGAAGUCACCCUCAGCAAACUUCAGGGACUUCUCAAGACCGCAGAAACAGGUCUUAAGGGGAAGUCGGUUGCUAUCACUCCUACUCAAAACUCUACUCCGGUUUUGGCAAUCGGGAAAAGUCGAGGGAGGAAGAGAAAGAGCUCUUCUAAGGGUACCAAGGCUCGGACCCUUGAUGGCUCUUCUUCAAGUGGAACCAAGAAAGGUUUCGUUACUCCUUCUUCUGACCCAAAAGAGGCUGAAUGCUUCUAUUGCCAUGAAAAAGCUCAUUGGAAGCGGAACUGCCCAAAAUACCAGCAAGAUGUGAAGGAUGGGAAAGUUAAACCCAACCAUGCAGGUAUUUACACUAUCAUUUCUAAUAACUCACCCCAUUCUAAUUCUUGGGUCCUUGAUACCGGGUGUGGUAUUCACAUUUGUUGUGACUUGCAGGGACUAAGAAGAAGUGAGGAUGUGGAGCAAGGAAGGAUAAACUUGAUCAUGGGGAAUAGGAAAGCUAUACCUGUUACCAAGAUUGGAGUUUAUACUUUAUCGCUAAGUAGUGGGUUUAGUUUAGAUUUGAAUAAGUGUUGUUAUUCGCCAGGAAUGGCAAGAAAUAUUAUUUCCUUUCAUGCUUUGUACAAACAAGGGUUUACCUUUUCAUUUAAUAAUGAAGUUGGUUCUAUAGAUGUUUUCUAUAAUAAUGUCUUUUAUUUUAAAGCAUUACCUUGUGAUGGUGUGUAUGAAGCUGUAUCUGUUGUAGAUAACUUGGGAAAUAAUGUUUUGUGUAUUGAUUCUACUAAUAAUAACUUGGAUAAAGCAUCUUUAUGGCAUUGUCGUCUUGGACAUAUAAGCAAGAAACGCAUAGGCCAACUCCAAAAGGAUGGAGUCUUGGAGUCGUUUGACCUAAAGUCAGAUGAUAGUUGCGAAUCAUGCUUACUUGGAAAAAUGACAAAGUCACCCUUCACAGGUUCGUGUGAGAGGGGUGAAGGUUUGUUGGACCUUAUACACACGGAUGUGUGUGGACCAUUCAAACAUGCCACAAGGGAUGCUAAUCGUUAUUAUUUGACUUUUACUGAUGAUUAUAGUAGAUAUGGAUAUGUCUACUUGAUCAAGCAUAAGUCAGAGACUUUCGAGAGGUUUAAGGAAUUUAAACAGGAAGUCGAGAAUCAAUUGGGCAGGAACAUUAAGAUGCUUCGAUCCGAUCGUGGUGGUGAGUAUCUUAGUUCAGAGUUCCUCGACUAUCUAAGGGAAUGUGGGAUAGUCUCACAAUUGACACCUCCCAGGACACCACAGUUGAAUGGUGUGGCUGAGAGGCGUAAUCGAACCUUGUUAGAUAUGGUUCGUUCCAUGAUGAGUCGAGCUACGCUACCAAUCUCAUUCUGGGGGUAUGCCUUAGAGACUGCCGCCCAUAUUCUUAAUCUAGUCCCUACAAAGAAAGUUGCCAAAACUCCUCACGAGAUGUGGACUGGUAAAGUACCUAAACUAGACCACAUCAAGAUUUGGGGUUGCGAGGCUUUCGUGAGACGCGAGACUCAUGAUAAGCUCGAACCUCGAAGCGAGAGGUGUAUUUUCAUCGGUUACCCACAGCGAUCCUUUGGUUACCUCUUCUACAGACCUAGUGACAAUGUGGUCUUUGUAGCAAGAAGAGGAGUCUUUCGAGAAAGAGAGUUUAUAAGCCAAGGAGACAGUGGGAGGCAAAUUGAUCUUGAAGAAAUUCAAGAAUCAAGCGGUGAAGGAACUUCAAACUCUAGCCCUCAACUUGAGGAGGAAACUCCUGUUGAGCCAAUUGACAAAUCUGUACCUCUGAGACGUUCCACGAGAGUUAGGAGUGCACCUGAGCAUUACUAUGGAUUCCAUAUUACUGCAGAAGGUGAGACACUUAUUAGUGAUGAGACACUAGUAAGUCAAGAUGACCCUAACAGCUACGAGGAAGCCAUGGCAGGCCCCGAGUCUGCUAAAUGGAAAGAGGCUAUGGAUAGCGAGAUACAAUCCAUGUAUGACAAUCAAGUUUGGAACUUGGUUGAAAAUGUACCAGGUCGUAAGACAGUAGGGUGCAAAUGGGUCUUCAAGAAGAAGACCGACAUGGAUGGUAAAGUACACACUUAUAAGGCUAGACUGGUUGCAAAGGGCUUCUCUCAAAUUCCUGGAGUGGAUUAUGAUGAGACCUUUUCUCCGGUAGCCAAGAUUAAGUCUAUUCGGGUUCUGUUAGCCAUAGCUGCAUUUCAUGACUAUGAAAUAUGGCAGAUGGAUGUCAAAACCGCUUUCCUUAAUGGAAAGUUGGCUGAAGAUGUUUACAUGAGUCAGCCAGAGGGUUUUGUCAGCAACGAGUACCCUAAUAGAGUGUGUAAGCUUGAGAAAUCCAUUUAUGGAUUGAAGCAAGCACCUCGCAGAUGGAAUCUUUGCUUUGAUGAAAAGGUCAAGGAAUUUGGCUUUUCUAGGAGUGAAGAUGAAUCUUGUGUGUAUGUCAAGGCUAGUGGGAGUAUAGUUAGCUUUUUGGUAUUGUAUGUGGAUGACAUACUACUCAUAGGAAACGACAUUCCAACCCUGCAGGAAGUAAAGUCCUGGCUUGGGAAGUGUUUCGCUAUGAAGGACCUUGGUGAAGCUGCCUAUAUUCUAGGGAUAAGAAUCUUGAGAGAUCGGAGUAAAAGACUAAUUGGACUUAGUCAGAGUACCUACUUGGAUAAGGUGCUGAAGAGAUUCAGCAUGCAGGAUUCCAAGAAAGGAGAGUUACCCAUCCAGAGUAACACCAGAUUGAGUAAGACACAAAGCCCUAGCACUGAGGCUGAGAUAGCAGAAAUGAGUCGAACACCUUACGCUUCGGCUGUAGGAUCGAUCAUGUAUGCUAUGACGUGUACUCGACCCGAUGUAGCUUUUGCCUUGAGCAUGGUUAGCAGGUAUCAGGCGAACCCUGGCAAGGCACACUGGACUGCGGUAAAGAAUAUCCUCAAGUACCUACGGAGGACUAAGGACUGGGUCCUUACCCUCGGUGGGAGUGAUGACUUGAGAGUUGUAGGGUAUAGUGAUGCUAGCUUCCAGACUGAUAGGGAUAAUUUCCGCUCUCAGUCGGGCUGGGUCUUUACCCUAAACGGAGGAGCAAUUUCUUGGAAGAGUUCCAAGCAAGAGACAGUGGCAGAUUCUACUUGUGAAUCAGAGUAUAUUGCAGCUAGUGAAGCAGCAAAGGAGGCGAUAUGGCUGAAGAACUUCAUUGGAGACCUUGGAGUUGUACCAGCUAUUAAAGAGCCAAUGGAAAUUUUCUGUGAUAGUGAAAGUGCUGUUGCCUUAGCCAAGGAACCAAGGGAUCAUGGGAGAUCCAGACACAUCGACAGAAAAUACCAUUUCAUUAGACAUCGGAUCGAAGAAGGACUCCUCGUGGCAAAGAGGGUAUCAUCGGAUGAGAACCCAGCAGAUCCCCUCACGAAGGGACUGAGUAGGGUUAAGCAUCUCCAGCAUGCUCGGAGCAUAGGGCUGAAGGAUGAUAUAAGUUUUAGUAGUUAGAUAACCCAGAAAUUUGUAAAGUGUAAUUGACAUUUGAUGAUGAAUAAAAGGUGUUUUAUUUAUGAGUAAAGUGUUGCUAUCUCUUGUCGAUCGUUUACUAUAUUUCUUUUGCAUGUUUUGACUUCCAGAAUAAUUUUGUUUGGUAUAACAUAUUAUUCAAACCUCCACAGUCGGUCAUAUGUCGGAAGUAGGUAUGAAUCAAGACUGUCAUGAUGGGUUGUAGAGGUCUAAGGUGUUGGACAAGGCUACAACAAUCAUGAGUGCUCAUAAGUUCUGAGCAUUGGACUCAACCCACGCUCACUGGAAUCACUUCAUGGAAUUCUAUCUCGAGUGAUCGUGAGACGGUAAUAUCAUAUAAGUCUUCAAACCUAGAGAUAUGAUUUGUUACUUACAAGUUGGUUAUGCAUUGACUGUACGAAACCGCAUUGGUAACUCGAUGUUAUAAAACGUACUUUUGUGUGUAAUUCAAUGAGUGGUAGAACAAACAUAUGAGUCGAAGUUUAUCUGUUCCUUCUUGGAUUAGAAGCUGAUAUCUGGGCCCCUCGAUGAUUUUGUUUUGACCCAUGUACCGGGCCCGGUCAGAACUAAGUUGAUGUGUUCAAUUAAGUUCUAUGUCAAACAAAUCGGAAAUCGGGAAACAAAUGCUGGACAAUAAGCAAGACAAUGUUCCAUGUAUUUGUCCGGCUGAUAUCUAGAACGGAGGAUUAUAUGAUCACUUAUCUUAAAUGGCGUACCAUCAUCUUCUCAGUUCCGAGAGACCUUGAAAGAGCUACGAUUGCCGGUCGGUUCCUGAAGUACUGGAGAUAUAGUUAUUAGACUUAUCCAAGUGGGAGACUGUUGGAUAAGGUGUCUAAGUCCAUAACUAUUUCUGGUUAGUACUUGACCCGACCCGGCAUGGUCCAUUUGGGUUGCAUGGCACCAUGCAAUUGGAUAGACUAAAUGAGAGGAAUAACACUUGGAGAUUAUUAAUAUAUUAUAAGUUCUAAUAUAUUAAUAAUAUUAUUUGAUUAGUUUGAUCAAAGAAUUAAUUUGGAAUUAAUUAAGUGAUCAAAAGAUAACUAAUUAAAUAUAUGGGUUGAUUAUGUAAAUCAUCCAUAUCUUGUAUAGUGGGCUAAGAGGCUCCAUGGAUUAUCAAGUUGGGUUCUACCCAUAGGAUGCUCCAUGGAUGCUCCAUGGGAGUUACAAACCCAUGGGUCAUGGAAAUGAAGAGUCAUGACACAUUAGGGUUUACAUGGUGUAACCCUAGAUGUGUCAACACUAUAUAAGAGUCCCAUUCUCCACCAAAAUCGGCUACACAUAAGAAACAAGAGGGCUAGGCCGAUUUCAAGAAGUGUGUGUUCUCUCAAAAGUCUUUCCAAGAGCAUUUGGUGUUGUGUGAAGCAUUUGAGGCAUCACACUUGGGGUGCUAGGCUCACAAGGUUUCAAGGAACAUAAGCAACAACAAGGUAAGUUAUUCUAUCUUUCAUUCAAGUUAGAAAUUGUUCCCCAUGUAUGCUAGAUAGGAAUAUAACCUUGGAAUUCAACUUCGCUUGAUAAUUAGACAAACAUAGAUCCAAGGUUAUUAGGGUUGCAUGUAUACUUAGGAAGUGUUAGAAUGCUCAAAACCCAUCAAAUACAGUCCACACCGAGGCCCAAUACUCAAGGUCCAACUGACUGUGUUACGCGGGGUGUACUCCAGAGUACGCUUAGCAUAACGGCUUGAUGGCAAGUACGCUGGGCGUACCUAUACGUACGCUCAGCGUAAUACCCUGAUAAGCUCUUUCUCUAUUAAGUGCUUAAUACUCCGAGUCAGAAGCUACAAUCUUCGAUCCAGGUCUGAUCCCACGUCUUAAACCAUAAAGGUACUUACUUGAUGGCUUACAAGACUCCCAUAAGCUCAACCUUCUAAAAACAACCAUUUAUUUCCAAGAAGGUGGCUAGAUCUCAUGCAUGGCUUCAUAAAAGCCUCAAAGAUCGAAACUUUACUUCUAUGGGGACACUUUGAGCUUCAAGAAUAGCGAUCCCAAGCUCCAAAACGAAGUUGCAUGAUAAAGGUCCUUCCUUUGGACUUAAAAGGUCCAAACUUCCAAAAACUCCUAGAUCUAUGCUUACAAGUGGAAAGUUGGAAGCUUUAUACCUCUUUUGGAUGCCAAAUGAAGAAAUCAUCCCAGAUCCUUGAGCUCAAGGUACUCAAGUUCUCCUUCUUCCAAUCUACUUCUCUUCUUCCAAGCUUUUCUUCACAAAAAUGAACCCAAAAGAUCCACCACACACAAACAAAGGGGGUAAGGGACGAACUACGGUUUUCUGAGAGUGAAGGAUAUGUGCGGAGGCCAAAUAAGAGCCUAUAAUGGGGUUUAAAUAAGUCUCAAACCCUAAAAUUCUCAGACCAUGAACGCUUCGGUUGAUAACCUUCAGCGCUCUCUGCAAGCUGAAACAUCCAAUCUUGAAGCUGCUCGUGAAGCCAUCGAAGCUGCGAAUGCCACUCUACAUGAUAAUGUAAUUGACCGUUUGACUCAACUGGAGGUAGUGUUGGCUGUGGAAAAUCGUAUCAUGGAUGAACUGGACAAACAAACCUCUCAGCUUAACAUGCAGAACCUCAAGCUUCACACUGCAACCCUGGAGCUUAACAAUUUGAAAUCUGAACGGGAGGUUAUUUGAAGCUCUGUUGGCGAUGUUCAUUCCAUUUUGCUUCACCUCCUUGAUGCCCAUGGUCCCAUCAUGACCAUUACCAUCUUAAGGAAUUUGGCUGAAAAACUAGGACCUGCAUUGGUCAUCAUUAGUCGCAUAGAGGGUGUUCCGGUGACUGAGGUCCAACCGAAACAAGGGGGAUAAAAGGCAGCGAAAACUCAACCUCCUCCUAAAAUGAAACCAACAACUGAACUGAAGGUUAAUGAAGCUUCGGUCAGUAAAAGAGACAAGAAGAUAAAGAAGAUUAGUGUAGAUGACACUGUUGAUGAAGAUGAUGUUUUUGAAGAAAAUCCCGCUAAGCCUUUUCAGAAAACAAAAUCUUAUGAUAAAGAGAUUGAAGAAAAACUGAAGAAACAAACGGCUGAGCUAGAGAAGAAGGAAAAAGAAAAGAAGCUCUUGGAGAAGAAGAAGUCCAUAUUUCUAGAAUUGACUAUUGACUCGCUUCAAAGAAGCGCUAUAGACGAACCAAACACUCAUUGGCUCGAGCCUGUUAUGUCGUUUGGGCUUGAAAACUCUAAGGAUGCACAGUUUGACAUGCCAAUCACUCGAAAGGGAUUCAUCUUUCACUGUUUCAACUCAACUCUUGUCAUCCCAUCUCCAAAGCCAAAGGUGGAUCGGGAUAAGUUAAAGUUCUAUCUGGAGUUCACACAGCCCCAGUACUUGGCCUGGAGUUCGCAGAAGAUCACAACUGUCAAGGUUCUGAAGCCCUAUUCAGUAGAGAAGUUCGUAAAUGUAAAAUUUAAAGUGACUCGAGGCUCUGAAGGCUUGGUUCACAAUUUCUCUCUUGCUGAUCUACCGAACCUCAACCCCCACGACUGGAUACUCGUCAACAACAUCUUGCUGUUAAAUCCUUAGGAGUAUCAGCCGAUCAUUGAGCAUAUGAAGUGAAUGCUUAUCUGCUACAUUCACGAAGUAGCAAAGAUGGAUCAUGAAAUCGCAUCAACAAUUCACAAGCGAACCACAAUCAAACCAAUGGGAAGAGCUGGCGAUAUUAACUCGAUGGUCAAAGGCAAAAUUGACACAAAGAACCAGACGGCGAUGUUUAUCAGGGGCGAAGGUCAGAAAUGCUUGUACGCUCUUGUUAACAAGCACCUGUUUUCAACCUCUUUCUUAGAGCACAUGUUAGAGAUUAUCUAGAGGUGUAAUCAUAACACAGCAGCUGACAAGAAGAUGUUUACUGGAAGGAAACUCACCUCGGAAAGCUGACUGCUGAAAACCCGAGUGAAAGAUCCCUGACUGUUGUCCCGGCUGCACUCCGGCUAUUAUGACAAUCAAACACUUAAUCAAAAAGGGGAUCUUUCGACGGUUAAAAUGACUAUUUUACCCCUACUAUGGUGUGGGUCAUAAUCAUGGCCCAAACCCUUUAAUUCUUUCUAAGGCCUCCACUGGCCCAUAAUUUGACUCCUACUGGCCCACUAAGGCCCUAGGUACAGAAUACAGUCCACACCGAAGCCCAAUACUCAAGGUCCAACUGACUGUGUUAGGCGGGGCGUACUCCAGAAUACGCUUAGCGUAACGGCUUGAUGGCAAGUACGCUGGGCAUACCUAUACAUACGCUCAGCGUAAUACCCUGAUAAGCUCUUUCUCUAUUAAGUGCUUAAUACUCCGAUUCAGAAGCUACAAUCUUCGAUCCAGGUCUUAUCCCACGUCUUAACCAUAAAGGUACUUACUUGAUGGCUUACAAGACUCCCAUAAGCUCAAACUUCUAAAAUCAACCAUUUAUUUCCAAGAAGGUGGCUAGAUCUCAUGCAUGGCUUCAUAAAAGCCUCAAUGAUCGAAACUUUAUUGCUAUGAAGACACUUUGAGCUUCAAGAAUAGCAAUCCCAAGCUCCAAAACGAAGUUGCAUGAUAAAGGUCCUUCCUUUGGACUUAAAAGGUCGAAACUUCCAAAAACUCCUAGAUCUAAGCUUACAAGAGGAAAGUUGGAAGCUCUAUACCUCUUUUGGAUGCCAAAUGAAGAAAUGAUCCCAGAUCCUUGAGCUCAAGGUACUCAAGUUCUCCUUCUUCCAAUCUUCUUUUCUUCUUCCAAGCUUUUCUUCACAAAAAUGAACCCAAAAGAUCCACCACACACAAACAAAGGGGGUAAGGGACGGACUAGGGUUUUCUGAGAGUGAAGGAUAUGUGAGGAGGCCAAAUAAGAGCCUAUAAUGGGGUUUAAAUAAGUCUUAAACCCUAAAAUUAGGGUUUCUCAACUGGUCGCGUACGUUGGGCGUACCGUAGGGUACGCUGCGUGUACGCCUCUCAUAACUCGCGCAUCCUAGGGACACUACGCCUCGCGUACAACAGGUUACACCCCACGUACAACUUAUGUGCAGCCGACAACGUGGCCCAAGAAUCAAGAAGGCCCAAUCCAAUCCAAGAUGUCCAAUUCCAAACAUAGCCCAACUAAAACUCAAGAAAUAAAAUUAAUUAAUACCUCUAAAGUUGAUCGUUACAUACUUCAAUCCUCAAGCGAUUCAGACUCAGAGUAUGUUCCUCCUAAACACAAAUUUACUGCUCCUUCAGAAUCUGAAGGCAAAACUUCUGAUGAGGAGGCUUCGGGUUGUGGUGAUACGUCGCCUCGCUCGCCUAAACCAGAAAUACCCGUUCGCUCCCAACCCCCUUCUCCUACACCUAUUUCUGUACCAAUCUCCAUCCCUCCAAUUUUUCCCAUCACUACCUCUCAACCAUCAACCACUCUUCCCAUCCCUGAUCCUAUCUUCACAGAAACUACCACUACUACAACCGAACCACCUGUUACAACAGAACCACCGGUUACACCUGAACCUCCUAUCACUACAAAACCCUUAUCACCUACCCAAUCCACUGACACCACCCCAGUUCUUGGCGGUGAGGACUUGGAAUUUGAUUCCACUUAUUUCAGUCCUUACGAUUUUCAAAGUGAUGAAGAUGAAGAUGCUCCUGUCACUAUGCGCCAUCUCAAAGCAGUCAAUGACAAACUUGAUCAACUGCUUUCCUCCUUUUCCACCGGUGUUACUCCGAUGCUGCUUUAAACGCCUUGUUCUCUUCUAUGGUCAAAGAACAUGAUGGUUCCCUAUCUGCUGCAGCAAAGGCCAUUGAUGCCUCUACUUCCCAAUGCCAAAAGGCUUCUCUUGCUGUUGAGGCCUCCACGAAGGAAUGCAAAGAAGCGACCGCAAAAGUCGAUUAACUAAUUUCUGAGGCUCGUGUCUCUUUGGAUUCCUUGCAAGCACCUGCUCAGAAGAAUUCUCAUACCAUGAACGCUUCGGUUGAUAACCUUCAGCGCUCUCUACAAGCUGAAACGUACAAUCUUGAAGUUGAUCGUCAAGCCAUCGAAGCUGCCAAUGCCACUCUACAUGAUAAUGUCAAUGACCGUUUGAUUCAACUGGAGGCAGUGUUGGCUGUGGAAAAUCGUAUCAUGGAUGAACUGGACAAACAAACCUCUCAGCUUUACAUGCAGAACCUCAAGCUUCUCACUGCAACCCUUGAGCUUACCAAUUUGAAAUCUGAACGGGAGGUUAUUUGAAGCGCUGUUGGCGAUGUUCAUUCCAUUUUGCUUCACCUCCUUGAUGCCCAUGAUCCCAUCAUGACCAUUACCAUCUGAAGGAAUUUGGCUGAAAAACUACGACCUACAUUGGACAUCCUUAGUCGCAUUGAGGGUGUUCCGGUGAUUGAGGUCCAGCCGAAACAAGGGGGAGAAAAGGCAGCGAAAACUCAACCUCCUCCUGAAAUGAAACCAACAACUGAACCGAAGGUUAAUGAAGCUUCGUUCAGCAAAAGAGACAAGAAGAAAAAGAAGAUUGGUGAAGAUGACACUGCUAAUGAAGAUGAUGCUUUUGAAGAAAAUCCCGCUAAGCCUUUUUAGAAAACAAAAUCUUAUGAUAAAGAGCUUGAAGAAAAACUCAAGAAACAUACGGCUGAGCUAGAGAAGAAGCAAAAAGAAAAGGUGCUCUUGGAGAAGAAGAAGUCCAUUUUUCCAUAAUUGACUAUUGACUCGCUUCAAAGAAGCGCUAUAGACGAACCAAACACUCAUUGGCUCGAGCCUGUUAUGUCGUUUGGGCUUGAAAACUCUAAGGAUGCACAGUUUGACAUGCCAAUCACUCGAAAGGCAUUCAUCUUUCACUGUUUCAACUCAACUGUUGUCAUCCCAUCUCCAGAGCCGAAGGUGGAUCGGGAUAUGUUAAAGUUCUAUCUGGAGUUCACACAGCCCCAGUACUUGGCCUGGAGUUCGUAGAAGAUCACAACUGUCAAGGUUCUGAAGCCCUAUUCAGCAGGGAAGUUCGUUAAUGUAAAAUUUAAAGUGACUCGAGGCUCUGAAGGCUUGGUUCACAAUUUCUCUCUUGUGUAUCUACCGAACCUCAACCCCCACGACUGGAUACUCGUCAACAACAUCUUGUUAAAUCCUCAAGAGUAUUAGCCGAUCAUUGACCAUAUCAAGCGAAUGCUUGCCUGCUACAUUCACGAAGUAGCGAAGAUGGAUCAUGAAAUCGCAUCAGCAAUUCACAAGCGAACCACAAUCAAACCAAUGGGAGGAGCUGGCGAUAUUAACUCGAUGGUCAAAGGCAAAAUUGACACAAAGAACCAGACUGUGAUGUUUAUCAGGGGCGAAGGUCAGAAAGGCUUGUUCGCUCUUGUUGACAAGCACCUGUUUUCAACCUCUUUCUUGGAGCACAUUUUGGAGAUUAUUUAGAGGUGUAAUCAUAACACAGCAACCGACAAGAAUAUGAUUACUGGAAGGAAACUCACCUCGGAAAGUUGACUGCUAAAAACCCAAGUGAAAGAUCCCUGACUGCUAUCCCGGCUGCUCUCCGGCUAUUAUGACAAUCAAACACUUAAUCAAAAAGGGGAUCUUUCGACGGUUAAAAUGACUAUUUUACUCCUACUAUGGUGUGGGUCAUAAUCAUGGCCCAAACCCUUUAAUUCUUUCUAAGGCCUCCACUGGCCCAUAAUCUGACUCCUACUGGCCCACUAAGGCCCAAGGUACAAAAUACAGUCCACACCGAGGCCCAAUACUCAAGGUCCAACUGACUGUGUGUACGCAGGGCGUACUCCAGAGUACGCUCAGUGAAAUACCCUAAUAAGCUCUUUCUCUAUUAAGUGCUUAACACUCCGAGUCAGAAGCUACAAUCAUCAAUCCAGGUCUUAUCCCACGUCUUAAACCAUAAAGGUACUUACUUGAUGGCUUACAAGACUCCCAUAAGCUCAAACUUCUAAAAACAACCAUUUAUUUCAAAGAAGGUGGCUAGAUCUCAUGCAUGGCUUCAUGAAAGCCUCAAAGAUCGAAACUUUACUGCUAUGGGGAUACUUUUAGCUUCAAUAAUAGCAAUCCUAAGCUCCAAAACGAAGUUGCAUGAUAAAGGUCCUUCCUUUGGACUUAAAAGGUCCAAACUUCCAAAAACUCCUAGAUCUAAGCUUACAAGAGGAAAGUUGGAAGCUUUAUACCUCUUUUAGAUGCCAAACGAAGAAAUGAUCCCAGAUCCUUGAGCUCAAGGUACUCAAGUUCUCGUUCUUCCAAUCUUCUUCUCUUCUUCCAAGCUUAUCUUCACAAAAAUGAACCCAAAAGAUCCACCACACACAAACAAAGGGGGUAAGGGACGAACUAGGGUUUUCUGAGAGUGAAGGAUAUGUGAGGAGGCCAAAUAAGAGCCUAUAAUGGGGUUUAAAUAAGUCUUAAACCCUAAAAUUAGGGUUUCUCAACUGGUCGCGUACGCUGGGCGUACCGUAGGGUACGUUGCGUGUACGCCUCUCAUAACUCGCGCAUCCUAGGGACACUACGCCUCGCGUAGAACGGGUUACACCCCGCGUACAGCUUAUGCGCAGCCGACAACUCGGCCCAAGAAUCAAGAAGGCCCAAUCCAAUCCAAGACGUCCAAUUCCAAACAUAGCCCAACUAAAACUCAAGAAAUAAAAUUAAUUAAUACCUCUAAAGUUGAUCGUUACAUACUUCAAUCCUCAAGCGAUUCAGACUCAGAGUAUGUUCCUCCUAAACACAAAUUUACUGCUCCUUCAGAAUCUGAAGGCAAAACUUCUGAUGAGGAGGCUUCGGGUUGUGGUGAUACCUCGCCUCGCUCGCCUAACCCAUAAAUACCCGUUCGCUCCCAACCCCCUUCUCCUACACCUGUUUCUGUACCAAUCUCCAUCCCUCCAAUUUUUCGCAUCACUACCCCUCAACCAUCAACCACUAUUCCCAUCCCUGAUCCAAUCUUCACAGAAACUACCACUACUACAACCGAACCACCUGUUACAACAGAACCACCGGUUACAACUGAACCUCCUGUCACUACAAAACCCUUAUCACCUACCCAAUCCACUGACACCACCCCAGUUCUUGGCGGUGAGGACUUGGAAUUUGAUUCCACUUAUUUCAGUCCUUACCAUUUUCAAAGUGAUGAAGACGAAGAUGCUCCUGUCACUAAGCGCCAUCUUAAAGCAGUCAAUGACAAACUUGAUCAACUACUUUCCCCCUCUUCCACCGGUCUUACUCCGACGCUGCUUUAAAAGCCUUGUUCUCUUCUAUGGUCAAAGAACAUGAUGCUUCUCUAUCUGCUGCAGCAAAGGCCAUUGAUGCCUCUACUUCCCAAUGCCAAAAGGCUUCUCUUGCUGUUGAGGCCUCCACGAAGGAACACAAAGAAGCGACCGCAAAAGUCGAUAAACUAAUUUAUGAGGUUCGUCUCUUUUUGGAUUCCUUGCAAGCACCUGCUCAGAAGAAUUCUCAGACCAUGAAUGCUUCGGUUGAUAACCUUCAGCGCUCUCUACAAGCUGAAACGUCCAAUCAUGAAGCUGCUCGUCAAGCCAUCGAAGCUGCCAAUGCCACUCUACAUGAUAAUGUCAAUGACCGUUUGACUCAACUGGAGGUAGUGUUGGCUGUGGAAAAUCGUAUCAUGGAUGAACUGGAGAAACAAACCUCUCAGCUUAACAUGCAGAACCUAAAGCUUCGCACUGCAACCCUGGAGCCUAACGAUUUGAAAUCUAAACGGGAGGUUAUUUGAAGCUCUGUUGGCGAUGUUCAUUCCAUUUGGUUCAUCUCCUCGAUGCCCAUGAUCCCAUCAUGACCAUUACCAUCCGAAGGAAUUUGGCUGAAAAACUACGACCUGCAUUGGACAUCCUUAGCCGCAUUGAGGGUGUUCCGGUGACUGAUGUCCAGCCGAAACAAGGGGGAGAAAAGGCAGCGAAAACUCAACCUCCUCCUGAAAUGAAACCAACAACUGAACCGAAGGUUAAUGAAGCUUCGUUCAGCAAAAGAGACAAGAAGAAAAAGAAGAUUGGUGAAGAUGACACUGCUAAUGAAGAUGAUGUUUUUGAAGAAAAUCCCGCUAAGCCUUUUCAGAAAACAAAAUCUUAUGAUAAAGAGCUUGAAGAAAAACUCAAGAAACAUACGGCUGAGCUAGAGAAGAAGCAAAAAGAAAAGGUGCUCUUGGAGAAGAAGAAGUCCAUUUUUCCAUAAUUGACUAUUGACUCGCUUCAAAGAAGCGCUAUAGACGAACCAAACACUCAUUGGCUCGAGCUUGUUAUGUCGUUUGGGCUUGAAAACUCUAAGGAUGCACAGUUUGACAUGCCAAUCACUCGAAAGGCAUUCAUCUUUCACUGUUUCAACUCAACUGUUGUCAUCCCAUCUCCAGAGCCGAAGGUGGAUCGGGAUAUGUUAAAGUUCUAUCUGGAGUUCACACAGCCCCAGUACUUGGCCUGGAGUUCGCAAAAGAUCACAACUGUCAAGGUUCUGAAGCCCUAUUCAGUAGGGAAGUUUGUUAAUGUAAAAUUUAAAUUGAUUCGAGGCUCUGAAGGCUUGGUUCACAAUUUCUCUCUUCCUGAUUUACCGAACCUCAACCCCCACGACUGGAUACUCGUCAACAACAUCUUGCUGUUAAAUCCUCAGGAGUAUCAGCCGAUCAUUGACCAUAUCAAGCGAAUGCUUGCCUGCUACAUUCACGAAGUAGCGAAGAUGGAUCAUGAAAUCGCAUCAGCAAUUUACAAGCAAACCACAAUCAAACCAAUGGGAAGAGCUAGCAAUAUUAACUCGAUGGUCAAAGGCAAAAUUGACACAAAGGGGCGAAGGUCAGAAAUGCUUGUUCGCUCUUGUUGACAAGCACCUAUUUUCAUCCUCUUUCUUGGAGCACAUUUUGGAGAUUAUUUAGAGGUGUAAUCAUAGGACAGUAGCCGACAAGAAGAUGUUUACUGGAAGGAAACUCACCUCGGAAAGCUGGCUGCUAAAAACCCGAGUGAAAGAUCCCUGACUGCUGUCCCGGCUGCUCUCUGGCUAUUAUGACAAUCAAACACUUAAUCAAAAAGGGGAUCUUUCGACGGUUAAAAUGACUAUUUUACUCCUACUAUGGUGUGGGUCAUAAUCAUGGCCCAAACCCUUUAAUUCUUUCUAAGGCCUCCACUGGCCCAUAAUCUGACUCCUACUGGCCCACUAAGGCCCUAGGUACAAAAUACAGUCCACACCGAGGCCCAAUACUCAAGGUCCAACUGACUGUGUUACGCGGGGCGCACUCCAGAGUACGCUUAGCGUAACAGCUUGAUGGCGAGUACGCUGGGCGUACCUAUACGUACGCUCAGUGAAAUACCCUAAUAAGCUCUUUCUCUAUUAAGUGCUUAACACUCCGAGUCAGAAGCUACAAUCUUCGAUCCAGGUCUUAUCCCACGUCUUAAACCAUAAAGGUACUUACUUGAUGGCUUACAAGACUCCCAUAAGCUCAAACUUCUAAAAACAACCAUUUAUUUCAAAGAAGGUGGCUAGAUCUCAUGCAUGGCUUCAUGAAAGCCUCAAAGAUCGAAACUUUACUGCUAUGGGGACACUUUGAGCUUGAAGAAUAGCAAUCCCAAGCUCCAAAAUGAUGUUGCAUGAUAAAGGUCCUUCCUUUGGACUUAAAAGGUCCAAACUUCCAAAAACUCCUAGAUCUAAGCUUACAAGAGGAAAGUUGGAAGCUUUAUACCUCUUUUGCAUGCCAAAUGAACAAAUGAUCCCAGAUCCUUGAGCUCAAGGUACUCAAGUUCUCCUUCUUCCAAUCUUCUUCUCUUCUUCCAAGCUUUUCUUCACAAAAAUGAACCCAAAAGAUCCACCACACACAAACAAUGGGGGUAAGGGAUGAACUAGGGUUUUCUGAGAGCGAAGGAUAUGUGAGGAGGCUAAAUAAGAGCCCAUAAUGGGGUUUAAAUAAGUCUUAAACCCUAAAAUUAGGGUUUCUCAUCUGGUCGCGUACGCUGGGCGUACCUUCGGGUACGCUGCGUGUACGCCUCUCAUAACUCGCGCAUCCUAGGGACACUACGCCUCGCGUACAACGGGUUACACCCCGCGUACAGCUUAUGCGCAGCCUACAACACGGCCCAAAAAUCAAGAAGGCCCAAUCCAAUCCAAGAUGUCCAAUUCCAAACAUAGCCCAACUAAAACUCAAGAAAUAAAAUUAAUUAAUACCUCUAAAGUUGAUCAUUACAUACUUCAAUCCUCAAGCGAUUCAGACUCAGAGUAUGUUCCUCCUAAACACAAAUUUACUGCUCCUUCAGAAUCUGAUGGCAAAAGUUCUGAUGAGGAGGCCUUGGGUUGUGGUGAUACCUCGCCUCGCUCGCCUAACCCAGAAAUACCCGUUCGCUCCCAACCCCCUUCUCCUACACCUGUUUCUGUACCAAUCUCCAUCCCUCCAAUUUUUCCCAUCACUACCUCUCAACCAUCAACCACUAUUCCCAUCCCUGAUCCAAUCUUCAUAGAAACUACCACUACUACAACCGAACCACCUGUUACAACCGAACCACCGGUUACAACCGGACCUCCUGUCACUACAAAACCCUUAUCACCUACCCUAUCCACUGACACCACGCCAGUUCUUGGGGGUGAGGACGUGGAAUUUGAUUCCACUUAUUUCAGUCCUUACCAUUUUCAAAGUGAUGAAGACGAAGAUGCUCCUGUCACCAAGCGCCAUCUCAAAGCAGUCAAUGACAAACUUGAUCAACUGCUUUCCUCCUCUUCCACCGGUGCUUACUCCGACGCUGCUUUAAAAGCCUUGUUCUCUUCUAUGGUCAAAGAACAUGAUGCUACCCUAUCUGCUGCAGCAAAGGACAUUGAUGCCUCUACUUCCCAAUACCAAAAGGCUUCUCUUGCUGUUGAGGCCUCCGCGAAGGAAUGCAAAGAAGCGACCGCAAAAGUUGAUAAACUAAUUUCUGAGGCUCGUCUCUUUUCGGAUUCCUUGCAAGCACCUGCUCAGAAGAAUUCUCAGACCAUGAACGCUUCGGUUGAUAACCUUCGGCGCUCUCUGCAAGCUGAAAGGUCCAAUCUUGAAGCUGCUCGUCAAGCCAUCGAAGCUGCCUAUGCCACUCUAUAUGAUAAUGUCAACGACCGUUUGACUCAACUGGAGGUAGAGUUGGCUGUGGAAAAUCGUAUCACGGAUGAACUAGACAAACGAACCUCUCAGCUUAACAUGCAGAAUCUCAAGCUUCGCACUGCAACCCUUGAGCUUACCAAUUUGAAAUCUGAACGGGAGAUUAUUUGAAGCGCUGUUGGCAAUUUUCAUUCCAGUUUUCUUCACCUCCUUAAUACCCAUCAUCCCAUCAUGACCAUUACCAUCCGAAGGAAUUUGGCUGAAAAACUACGACCUGCAUUGGACAUCCUUAGUCGCAUUGAGGGUGUUCUGGUGACUGAGGUCCAGCCGAAACAAGGGGGAGAAAAGGCAGCGAAAACUCAACCUCCUCCUGAAAUGAAACCAACAACUGAACCAAAGGUUAAUGAAGCUUUGGUCAGUAAAAGAGACAAGAAGAAAAAGAAGAUUGGUGAAGAUGACACUGCUGAUGAAGAUGAUGUUUUUGAAGAAAAUCCCGCUGAUCCUUUUCAGAAAACAAAAUAUUAUGAUAAAGAGCUUGAAGAAACACUCAAGAAACAAACGGUUGAGCUAGAGAAGAAGCAAAAAGAAAAGGAGCUCUUGGAGAAGAAGAAGUCCAUUUUUCCAGAAUUGACUAUUGACUCGCUUCAAAGAAGCGCUAUAGACGAACCAAGCACUCAUUGGCUCGAGCCUGUUAUAUCGUUUGGGCUUGAAAACUCCAAGGAUGCACAGUUUGACAUGCCAAUCACUCGAAAGGCAUUCAUCUGUCACUGUUUCAACUCAAUUGUUGUCAUCCCAUCUCCAGAGCCGAAGUUGGAUCAGGAUUUGUUAAAGUUCUAUCUGGAGUUCACACAGCCCCAGUACUUGGCCUGGAGUUUGCAAAAGAUCACAACUGUCAAGGUUCUGAAGCCCUAUUCAGCAGGGAAGUUCGUUAAUGUAAAAUUUAAAGUGACUCGAGGCUAUGAACGCUUGGUUCACAAUUUCUCGUCAACAAUAUCUUGCUGUUAAAUCCUCAGGAGUAUCAGCCGAUCAUUGACCAUAUCAAGUGAAUGCUUGCCUGCUACAUUCACGAAGUAGCGAAGAUGGAUCAAGAAAUCGCAUCAGCAAUUCACAACCGAACCACAAUCAAACCAAUGGGAAGAGCUGGCGAUAUUAACUCGAUGGUCAAAGGCAAAAUUGACACAAAGACCUAGACUGUGAUGUUUAUCAGGGGCGAAGGUCAGAAAUGCUUGUUCGCUCUUGUUGACAAGCACCUGUUUUCAACCUCUUUCUUGGAGCACAUUUUGGAGAUUAUUUAGAGGUGUAAUCAUAACACAACAGCCGACAAGAAGAUGUUUACUAAUAUGAUGAGAUGGUACCAUCAAUUUCGGCAGACACUUGUUGCAAUCAUCCCUCGGUUGUUCAAGGUGGUGAAGACUGUGAAGCCAACUCAGAAGAAACAAUCUCUCACCUCAUUUGACACAAAGGGGGAGAUUGUUGGGUUUGGUGUGUUGCGUCAUGGGCUCGGUCCUUAGCCCAGUUUUGAUAUCCGGUUUGGGCCUAUCCAACCGUGAUUAUUUUACUCUAGGGUUUAGUAUUUAAGGUGCAUGCAUGAAUCCUUUGUAAAAAAACGCUUUUGAUUGUCUUUCUCGUUAAGUUUUGUAAACCCUAGCUCGCCUCUACAGUGGAAGUUCUUCAUUGAGCUCUACUGAGGCGUGACUAUAUUUGAAUCAUAAGCAUUACGUUGAUUCUAUACUGUGUUAAUAAUAUUAUUUUGUUUGAAUUGUUUGCUCUUCAUCUUUUUACCUGUGAAAGAUCUAAUCGAUCUGAGAUUUAUUCUCAUCAACGAUCACUGACUGAUCCAACAUCGGUCUGCACACCCGGUUCAUGAGAUCCAUAAACACUGUCGGGGCAUUGGUGAGCUCAAAUGGCAUCACCACAAACUCAUAAUGCCCAUAACGAGUCCUGAAAGCUGUAUUCGAUAUUUCCUCAUCCCUAAUCCUCAUCUGAUGAUACCCAGACCGAAGAUCAAUCUUGGAGAACCAAGAUGCACCCUGAAGCCGAUCAAAUAAAUCAUCGAUCCGUGGCAAAGGAUAGCGGUUUUUCACGGUCAGCUUGUUCAGCUCCUUAUAAUCAAUGCACAUCCUGUGCGAUCUGUCCUUCUUUUUCAAGAAAAAGAUCGGUGCUCCCCAUGGAGAACUGAUCAGAUGGAUGAACCCUCGGUCUAGCAGCUCUUGAAGCUGCGUAGAUAACUUAUGCAUCUCUGGUGGGGCCAACCAAUACGGUGCCUUGGAUAUCGGAGCGGCACCCGGCUCCAAAUUGAUGCGAAACCCCACCUGCCUCACCAGAGGCACCCCGGUAACUCUUCGGGAAAAACGUCCCAAAAAUCAUGUACUAUUGGCACACUAUCAAUAUCCGUUACCGCCUCUAUGCGCGUAUCCGAAAAAUAAGCCAAAAUUCUAGUGCAGCGCUGCUGCAAAAACCUCCUAUCCCUCGUGGCUAAACAGAGGGUCGGGCCCUACGAGGCCUUCUCACCCUGAAUAACCAACUCCCCCCCCCUUGGGGUUCAAACCCGGACCAAGUGCCGCUCACAAUCGAUCAUGGCCCCGUUGGCCCCCAGCCAAUACAUCCCAAUGAUCACCUUCAAUCCUCGCAAUGGUAUGGGAAAUAAAUCAACACGAAACCUCUCGCCAUGCACAUUCAGGACACGGUCCUGAUAUACCCUCGCAACAAUCACAGUGCAAUCAUUUGUGAUCUCCACCUUGAGCGGGGUAUCCAGAAUCCCCGGCGCGUCUCGGAACUUCUUGCUAAGCGCAAGAGACACGAACGAUCAGGUAGCACCCGAAUCAAAAAAAAAACAUGAGCCGACAUACCAUUGACCAAAAAGGUCCCUAUACAAAACAUAAUACAUACAUAUAAGAAUUUAACAAAGAUAAGGCAAAGAAGAAUAAACACAUACCAGCCACGACGUUUGGCGCUGUCCGAGCCUCCUCGGUAGUCAGCUGAAAUGCAUGGCUUUUCACCACUAGAGCUUCUUCCUUGACAGGGCGGCCGUCAGUAAUCCUCACAGUGACGGGCACGGGCGCUGCCACUGAUCCUCCUCCUCCUCCCUGCAACCUUGGACAAUUGUCCUUUUUAUGGCCUGUAUGGUUGCAGUGAAAACAUUUCAAGCCCUUCUUGGGGCAAUCCUUACUCAUGUGGCCCUGUUGACCACCUGAGUAACAUCAUGAUAUACCAGUUGUGCGAAAAGCCCCACUAUGAAACCUCCUGCACUUGGCACACCGGCCCCGACCCUGCUGGCCCCUACCUAAAGAAUCAGAGGUCUUAGGCUUCUUAGCCUGAGCCCCUGCAGCCCAUACCUGCUCAGUCUUCCACUUCGUGUGGGACUCCAACUCCAUCUCCCUCUCACGGGCUUUCUUCACCAUCUCGUUGAGGGUUUUGCACCCUGUAAAGCUCACAAAAUCCCGAAUAUCAUCCCUCAGCAUACCAUGAUAUCGGUUCCGCCUCAUCUCCUCAUCCAUAACAUACUGAGGAAUCAACAAAGCUCGCUCUCAAACAUGGCAGUGAUCUCUGCCACCGUCAUGGUGGUCUGCUGCAGCCCAUGAAACUCCCUCACCAACCGUUGCACCUCAAUAGGCGGUGCAAUCUCCAUAUCGAAAUAUUAAACAAACUCAGCCCAUGACAUCUCAGCCACACCGGCUGCUCCCACCUGGCUAGUAACCUCGCCCCACCAAUCUCUGGCCCUGUCCCUCAGCAUUCAAGAAGCAAAUCCAACCUUUGCCUCCUCUAGGAAAGAACUCGUGCGCUGGGCAUUCUCAAUGUCUGCUACCCAACAUCUGCUCACAAUGGGGUGCCUGACCCUAGAGAACUUUCGAGCUCCACACGCCUUGAACUCUCGGAACGGGGGGAGUUCGGGCUCCACCUUGACCCGCAAAAACAUCAGCCCUGAGUGCCCUAAGUCUCUCCUUCAUGAUCUCCAUCAUACCCUCCUUGACCGUCCCAAAGAUGACUGGGGUAGUGUCAAGGAUGCCCCUUGUAACCUCGGCCACAAUCAACUCACGCAACCUCUCAUCAAUACCAUCAGUAGUGCAACCUAACCCAGCCCCGGACCCAGAUCCCGAUCCUGAUCCCCCUGCUCCCAACCUUGUCAUCACCAUGCUGAACUAAAAUACCAAAACAUAAUGAUUAGGAUACCUAUAACGAGGGUUCUUCCAUACUGGUUUCCCUCCCCUUUGGAACCCCAGGUAAAACAUGGUUUUGGGUACAGGUCAUGUGCUUCUAGUAGUACGGGCCCAAUACUGCCUUCCACACCUACCAGUACCUUUCCCCCACUACUCAACCUAAUGAAUCCAAUACAACCAAACACAAUACCAUAUCCCACAACUUCCACACAAAACAACUCCUGGGCUGCCCUAUGAUUUGUCCUACCCAUGACAACCAAACCAAUCACAACAGGCUACUUUUAUGCAUGCAACUUCUACACAGAAAGGAUUAAACAGACUUUCGAAUAAGAGAUUCUGCCCUAAAACCACAUCCAAACAAGGAAAAGAAAAUAAGUACAAAUCAAUCAUUUUGAGGCUAUAAGCUCCUAACCGUAUAAAAUUUCUUAAAACAAACACUUAGCAAAUUCCAUAUAAUCAACAAAGCUCAAUAUCAGUAUAAUAUGGCUAUUCAAAUUGGGGAAACUACUUACUUGGCUCAGCUGAUCACGCGUGUCGCACUCUCAUCUUUUGGGUUUCUUUUAAAUCCUUUUUAGGUUACUUUUUGAAAACAUUUUAUCACCUCCUUAGUUUGAGUGCUGACACACCCGAUGAUGUGACUGAAUCCCUCAAACCAAGGCUCUAAUACCAACUUGUAACGACCCAAUUUUUUUACAAAGAAAAUUUUCAUUUUUAGUUAAUCAAAACCAAUUUCAUAAACCAUAAAUUCCCAAAACAUUUGUUUUCAAAUCAACAUUCAUUACAUCAUUGUUUUCCUUUUUAAAAACAUCAGAGGGUCCCAAACACACUAAAAAGAGAGAUAAAGUGCACGCCAUUUCAUCACGCCUUGCCCUUGUCCUUGGGCUCAGAAGUACCUGUAACAAAUCAACAACCUGUAAGUGAAAUGCUUAGCGAGUUUCCAAGAGCAUACCACACACAUUCACAUACACAUAUCCUGCUAGCUAAUAAAGCUAUAAUCAUGCCACAGAAACCAUGCAAUACGAUUCAACAAGAAUGUCAUGGCUACCCCACAUGGUCUUUACGUAGGACUGCCAUGGGCUACCGCACAUGGCCUUACAUCCAAUGUCAUGGGCUACCCCACAUGGUCUUUACCUAGGAAUGCCAUGGGCUACCCCACAUGGUCUUAUAUCCAAUUCCAUGGGCACCCCCCGAGGUCUUCCAUACCAACAUAAUAUCACAUAACAUAUCAAUUCAUAAAUGAAUAACACACACGUAACAUGUUCACAUAAUGGGCCGGUCUUGGUGCCGUAGACCCAUAGGUAUGGUGAAAAGAGUCACCUCCGUCCGAUGAAUACGAAUACUGUCCUCCUAAUAAUAUGCAACCUCCCGAGCAGUAUAAUAACAAUAAUAAUAUAAUCAAUGAUAUGACCUUAUAUUACCCAAGGAAAGACCCAACCUUCAAACUCUACCCCAAGGCCCAAUUACCCUUUUCUUGCAAAUGGGCCCCAAAGUCCAAGUCCAAUAUCGUUAAUGGGCCCCUUGGCCCAAUAAGGCCCAACCGAUAAGUCCAUAACCCAAACAGAUGAAAAGGCAUCUAACUUACAGAAUCCAAUCAAGCACAACAACCAAAUGAGGCCCAAUGGCCUAAAACAGCUUAGGGCCCAACUGAGCUGCGUACUCCCAGUAUACUACCCUGGUGCGCGCAGCGUACUGAAGGUUUAGGGACUAUGCGCCGCUUACAACCAGUUACGCCCAGAGCACAACCAUUUUAACCACUCUUUCCAUUAAGUGCUUAAUGCUCGAAUCCUUCACAUCUAAAAGCUAGAUCUAAGUCUGAAAAGAUGUCCUGAGGCAUAAAGUUGGCAACUUUAUGCCCUUGCAUGUCUCAUGCACACCCGACUACUCCAUUAAGACCUUUCCAAGGUCUUUUAGCCAUGCAUGAGGUCAAAUCUCUCAUCAAGCUUCCAUUUUUAUACUUCUAAAUGAGUAGGGGACCUCAAAUCUGCCUUUCAUAUCAAUUAGGGAGGCUUAGCUCAACAAAAGAGGUCCAAAGUUCAUCAAAGGGAAAAACCACCAAAACCUUAGCUAGAUCUAAAGAUUAGAAAGGAAAGAUGCAAGCUUUUUACCUCCAAAAGCUUUGCAAGAUGAUUUUGGUGCAGGAUCUUGAAGCACCCACUUGAUCCAAGCUUGCCUGACCACCCCUUCUUCUUGAAAUACACACUAAAAGGCCACAAAUGCACUCUUUGAGGCUCAAGAAUGAUCUCACAAGGUUUCCAGGAGUAUAUCGACGUUCUAAGGCUGUGGAGGCUCUCUAGGGUGCAGUCCAAGGGACUUAAAAUUGUUUAAAUAGGCCUCAUGUCCGAAAUUUAGGGUCUUGCGUCCCUGGCACGUACGCCCCGCAUAAUUCAAGGUACGCCCAGCGUACUUUGAUUCCUCCGCGACCACUUCGAUGCACUAUGCUAAGCGUACACUUAAAUACGUACCUCAUACUUAAGGGACCAUUUAUGCAAAAAUUAUCAUUCCUUAGGGUUUCAAGACAUACCAGAAUUUUCGAUGUUACAAUUUUGAACAUCUUUCAUGUUUAUGACAAAUUCUGAAUCUUAGUUGCCAUGUUGUAGAAAAGCCAUCUCCACAGCGUGGCAAAUCCAGUUUUUACGGGGACGUGAAAAUUCCAUCUCCCACGGCAUGGCAAGUUGUUGGCCACGCCCUGGAGCCAAAAAAAUCUAUAAAAAAAUACCAGAUUUACAACCAUAAUCGGUGUGAGGGAUUUGGCAGCCCACAGGUGCGAGUUGUACUUCGUUUUGAAGUCCAGAAACCCUCUGAGGGUCGACUUUGAAGAUAGUGAGUUGGUUGGAUCAAGGAUUUGAAGAUUCAAGUGCUAAUAAAUCAUGAUUUCACUUCGGGUUUGCUUGAUGAUUUUGCUAAUACAUCAAGAUAUUUUUCUUUUAGUUUACUAAUUAUGGUGUAAAAACCUUUACUUUCACUAGAUAUUGAUGAACCCUUAUUGAUAUGAUUUGAUUUUGUUAUUUAUGAAUUAACUAAUUUUGGUUUUUACUUGUGUUUGAUAGAUCAUCAACCUAAUACGUUAAAGCUCUAAUUUUUAUCUCUUAUUUGUAAGUUAUAUGUAGUUAGAUAACCAUUCCAAUUGCAUAAACUUGAUAUUUAUCUAUUUACGAUCAUUGAAUAGUUAGAUCUAGUGAUUGAAGAAAUCCUAGGGUUAGGUAAUAUUAUUUAGUAACUUUGACUAUGUUAGAAAGGUAAUCAUAGAUAGGUAAUCAUAAGAUCUUAUCAUUCGUAGUUAAAAUAAUCUUUCAAAUCAAUUUAGAGUUAAUCUUGUGCUACACCAUUGUAUUGUAGUUCAUGAAUUAGUAAACACUAGGAGUCGGAAGAUGAUAACUAGUAAUAUUACAAUUUGGUAUUCAACUCAUUAAUCCAUUUCACUUCUAAUAAAUCAAACAUAUAAACUUAAGGGAUUCAUAUUCUAGUGGAGGUACUUCUUAUCUUUUGUUUUAAUUUAGUUAUUUACUUCAUUUGAUUAAUAAAGCAUUAAAACUUGUUUAAUUUCGUUUACACAAAAACCUCAUCUUUACUUUUCUAUUAUUAUUAAAAUUAACAUUUGAAUUAUUUGAUCUAAACCAUUACCGUUUACUGUAUUCGACACCCUUUUGUUACCUUAAACUAUAUUUCUUCAUGUCUAGGUGCACUACCUAUUUGUGUUUAAGACUAGUUGAGAUUAGAUAGUACUUUAUAAAUAAAAAAAAUUAGUACAUAAAUAACACAUCAGUGUGUUCCUCAUCUUUCAACAUAUUUUCUCAUCUUCUCCUAUUCCAACACCGUUUCCAACCAAUUUUCUUCCAACUCAUUAUACCUGCAAAAUGAAAAUUACAAACAUUAUAAGCACAUUUUAUCCUAAUUUGCAUCAAUAUAUAACAUAUAUGUAUAUGAUAUUGUAUAAAAUCACUAUGUAAAAUAGGCAAUAUCAAAAUACCCCACAAUUAGACUUUGCUUGUCCUCAAGCAAACUAGAAUCAAUUUAUUCCAUAAUCAGUACUCAAUUUCAAAAUUACUUCAAGUGUCUGUUACUAUACUUUACCAAACAAUUCAAUUUAAUGCCACUAAUUACAGUUAGAAUUAUAUGCAUAUCUAUGUUCUAAUCCUAAUAACUUUCCAAGCCUCAAAGACUCACAUUGUUCAUAAAUGUGCACCAGUCAUUUUGAAAAAUUCUCACUUCUACAUCACCUCGAAAUAUAACCUUCAAAAACUCCUUAACCUCAUAAUAUGUUUGAUAAAAUCCCAAAUCUCCUAGACUCAAAAGAAAAUGAAAAUAACAUAGAAAAUUAAAAAUCCAAAUUUUUUGACUUUUUCCAAACUUUUGGUAUUUUCCUUAUUUCCUUGAUUUUUUCGAUUUUAUUUUCUUUAUUCUUUAUUGACUUUUAUUUGACUCUUUUUGUGUUUUUUUUCUUUUCAAAACUCACCUUUUUGCACUCUUAUCGUUUCACACAUAGCUAUAAAUAAAUAUAAUUAAUAACAAAUGGGGAGCCCAUGUCUUUUGAUGAAACCCUUUUAGCGGAGUAAUUCCUCAAUCUAAUCAGCGUCAAUAGCCUAAGAACUUAACUUAUGUAGCGUCCCAAAACUCAUAGAAAAAUAACCUAAGAACUAUAAUGAAUAAUAGGUAACCAAAAACAAUAGCCUAAGAGCUUAACUUAAGUAACGUCCCAAAACUCAUAGAAAAAUUUUCAUUGAUAAGUAGGAAAAACAUUCAAUACAUAUAUCAUAAAGGAUCAUCAAAGUCAAUCAAUGUUUCAAAAAGAACAUCAGAGUAUCAUCAAAUCAUAAGCGUGAAAUCUCCAGUGGAUGCAAUGCAUUCAUGCUAGACCCUUCCCUUUCAAAUUAAAAGUACUUGAAAAUGUUAAACCAUAAAAUUGUAAGCAUGAAGCUUAACGUAUUCCCCAAAAUACCACAAACCAAAUAAAUGGGCCCAGCCCAACACUGAAACAUCCCAAAAUUUUCAAUAAAUUUGAACUUUUUAAAACAACAUAAAUCAUCCAUUUAUUAUAUUUUAUUCAAAACAAAUGAAAUACCAAACCCCAAGAUCAAUUCUGUUUUUAAACAUUAUUAGUUAUAAUUCUAAAAUUUAUGAAAAGACAACAAAUUCAAUAUUAAUUUCAGAAACCCACCUCAAGCCAGUGUGUACAAUCAUGCUCGACCAUCCUGUGUACCUGAAAUAGUAUUUUUAAGAGAAAAAGGGUAAGCACAAAUCUUAGUGAAUUCUACACAUACACAAUAUCAUAUCAUAUCAUAUAAUCCUUACCCCUAUACACGAAUGCAAUCGACAUCAAAACACAAAAUCGCGCUUGCAUGUCAAAGAGCGAAUCAGUAACAGACAUGCUCCUACUGGGACACAUUGGCUAGGCCCGAUCCCCAUUGCUCAGUACAUUGAUCCCUUGCGACAUAUUGGCUAAACCCGAUCCCCCGUACCCGAACCUAUUGGGACACAUUAGCCAUGCCCGAUCCCCCUUAAUCAGUUCGUCGAGCCUUUGGGACACAUUGCCUAUGCCCGAUCCCCACUCGGAUGUGCCGAGUCCUACCAUGCAUAAUCCUCAAUAUGUGAGGCAAACCACUAGCCUCUACCCCGCCUACUAAUACCCACAUACAUAAUACGAUACAUAACACACACGAGCUAAUGUAAAGAAGAGAUAACACAACAUGGUAUAGUGAGGAACUCACCUCAAAGAAAAAAGCAGCCUCCAAAGCAACCCAAAACUCACUCACACCUGCUUUCCCUUCAUACUUCCUUAUAAUAAUAACAAAUAGAGUUAUUUUUAGUUAUUAAAUUGCCUUAAUUAUGAAUACAACUAAUGGGCAAAUUUUCCAGGUUUCUACAUAAAAAUUAGGGUCUGUUCGGGAACUAUUUUACCACUCUUAAACAACUUAUUUUUCAAACUGUUUUACAUGCAUUAAGUUCAGGUUAUUAGAUUUAAAAGUGGUAUUUUCAAACAUCUGUAUGAUUUUUCUACAAUUUUUGGCGAUUUUUAAAAAAACUGCCUCGCAAAACAGUUCAUUACGGACCAGUUUAGGUAAAUGGUCCAUUUCACCUUAGUUAGAAGGGUUUAUGGAAUUCAGUCAAAACUAAUGAUUUGUAGAGGACUCAAAAGUAAAACUCUGGGCUUUGUUUUCGACUAAAAAGAGUUUUCCAUGACCGAGAUAUGAAAUAUCAAAUUUCUGGACAGAUUAGGGCAUUUCCAGGAAUUCACAACUUUGGCUUUUUAAGGUUAAUUUGACAUCUUAACCCAUUAAGACCUAUCCAAUGAGGCUUAACAUCAGUCAAAUGAGUUCAUAAUAGUAGAGUACUUCAUUGAUACAGAAUUCAACGAAAAUCUCAACCCCUUUUCUUGAGAUUUCUUGCUUAAACAUCAAGAUAAGUACAAUGCUUUAAUGGUAAGAAAACCAACUAGGAUUUACGGUUUGGGACCAAAACAUCGCAUGUCACCACUUAGACCUCAAACCACCUUGAAGCAUCACUACCCACUACCAUGGUGGUAGUGGUUGCCCACAGUGGCUGCUACCACCUUGGCGGUGGUGGUGGUGGUGAAGAUUUCUCUUAAAGGAAGAAGAAGGAUUAAAUUGAUUAGAACUUACUUGGAUGAGAACCAACCCCAUCGAACCACCCUUAUCUUCUCCAAUAUAGAUAUCAGCCUCCCCUCUUCUCCCUUUCUUCUUUUAUGGUUGGCAGCCUUUCGUUCGUUCAUUUCUCUCUUUUGCGCCGCAAGAUACACAUACACACACUUCACGUAUUUUUUUUUUCGUUUAGGUAGGUUUAGGGCUAAAAAUGGGCACGAGGCUUAAAAAAAGAGUUGGAUCAUGAAUGGCUAAAAGCAUCAUCUCGUAAAAAAAAUAUGAUUUUAAAUUCGUAUUUCUAGUUUAGCCCCUAAAGUUUUCCAUAAUGACAGUUUUGGUCCCUCUAAACAAUUAUCUUUGCGACAAAAGAUUUUCAAAGCUGUCAAAUUCAGUCCCUUCUUUAGAAAAUAGUUAUAAUACAUUUGUAAACAUGAUCUUAUUAUUAUUAUUAUUAUUAUUAUUAUUAUUAUUAUUAUUAUUAUUAUUAUUAUUUUUAUUAUUUUGUAUUUAUACUUAUUUUCCAUUAUAAAUUAAUUAAACGGAAAACAAGGUGUUACAACUCUCCCCCACUAGAAGCAGACUUCGUCCUUGAAGUCAUGGUUAACAAUCAACUAUUGGUAAAUCGCUUGUCUUUCCUUUCUAGCUCCCCGAUGCUGCUACUAAACUUCUACUAACCCGGCCUCUUUAUUCUGUAGAAUAUUUUCCUUCCUCUCCAGAAUAACCACCGUCCUUCCAUCAUAAUUUAGUCGCAUGAACGUUUGAAUUCCUUUAAGUGAAACCACUGCUGUGUUAUUCACGAUACAUUUCUGAAGUUGAGACACAUAACAAAAUGUUGUGAAUCCACCUCCAGUCACCUGACAGUUCUAAUAGAUAUGAUACCCUUUUCACUCGAACAAAACCUUGUAUGGACUAUGCAUCAACCUCCAAAGUUCCUUCUCUUACGAAACCGUAUCACUCAUGUCCAUGGCGUGCUCAUAUGUCGACUUUUUGUGGUAACCAAUCGUUACCGCUCCAUAUACACCAACUCGUUCAUUUUAAGCAUAAUUAUCUAUGUGCCCAUCGCUCGAUGCCCAAGCUCGCCGAAUACAUAGGCAUCAUGCACUUCUUAUCACAACAUAAAAUGAAUGACGACAUGCCAAUACAAGAGUAGAAGUUGUGCUAAUUCGCAACUGAGUACCCAUUACCUUUUGAAACAUUCACUCAAAAUCGAGGCGUAAUUCAUAUGUCUUUUUUUAGAGACCAUAUAAAUGAGCAUCUCGUUCUGGAUACGACAUCCCAAGCGUAGUUAUUUUCUUGCUACCCCCAGUAUAUGAACACAGACUUAAUCAACAUGUUAAAUAACCCCAACUAUUUGGAUUAACAUUCAAAAUACUGAUUUAAAAUCUCCUUCAUUUGGCAUUCUCAUCCAAAAACUUCACUUCAUGUACCUUUUCAUCAGCUUCGAUAACAGUACCAUUCGUAGACAGCACUCCCAGAGUGGCUCGUUAGCCAAAUUUUGAGUAAGAGCAUCAACAAAUACAUUUGAUUUACCAAGAUAGUAAGGUAUCUUGCCAUCAAAAUCCCAAACUAUGCCUCGCAAUAUUGUCAAACUCCUUGCAAAGCUCCCAUAAGUUUAAAACAUAUGAUCUGAAACUUCUAAUACCGACCCUCCUAGACUAGCGAUCAUUCCUACUUCUUCAGACAUGAAACCGAGUAAGAUCUUAACAAGGAAAUCUACCACUCCUAAAUGAAGCAAUAUCUUGAUCAGCACCUCCUCAACAUCUCACUAGGGUAAUGGUUUAGACACACAUCCAUACAACUAUAGCACUCUAGUUGUCUUCCGAACAAAUCAAUACUUUCAACUACAAGAAUGAAAUUAAAUAGCGAUCUUCCAUCGGUGCACCCAAAUCACACUGUUACAUUGUUUAUCUUCAUACCCAAGGUCUUGUACUUUGUAUCGAAUGGUACGCCAUGUUACCCUCAUCAAUUAGUUACCAAACAAUCAGGGUAACUAGUCUAACAUGUAUACAAUACCAACCAAUUGUAUGACCGUAACCAACCAUUAUGGUUUAUAGGCAUGUAAUCAUCAUUCUACAAACUUGUAGGUUUCCAAUUACCAUUCCUUCAUCUCACAACAAAACACCAUUCUUACUGUCAUCCCCACUGGCCUACAGGUAUAAUACCAUCAUCCCACAACCCAUAAUAAUAAUAGCUAAGAACAAAAUAAAGUACUGAACCCUAGGAAGCUAGACAAUACUAUUCGGUUUCCGGACCACGCAUGUAAUCUCGAAGUAUUUAUCGGACAAGAACAACGAGGGGACUCUCACCACGACCCUAAACCAGAGCUAAUUGUUGGGUCAAUUAGAAAAGAAAACUAUAAACCAAGGGGGAGAUUGUUGGGUCAAAAAUAUGGUUUAUACUUUUCUUUUCUAAGCAUUUACUGUUUUUAUUAUUUGGGCCGUAAACAUCAUACAAAUUCAUCCUUAUUCCAUCGUGUCCCAAUCAUAUCUCCUCCAUGCGAUGUGCAAGGUAUCAAAUCAAUCUUGUGCAUGGGCCCUUAUUGUGAAACUGUUGUUGCAACUCGCCACGUCUAACAUCUUUGUACGAGUGUUUCCACUUCAACAACUGGAUCGAUCUAGUCGUUAGCUAGAAUAUGAUGUAUCUAAUUUGGGUCUCGCUUGAACAACCGCAUAGUCUCAAGGACUCUUGCAUCCAUCACUCAUGGAUCAUACUGGAGCAUCUUACAAAUAUCAACACUUGGCACCAUUCUACAUGACUUUUCCAAAUAAGUGAUAAACUUAUAGCAAUUGGAUCAUAUUGUAUAGUCGCAUUGAACUCAAGGGAUAUCUACUUAUAAAUAGUCUCUUGAACAUGAAAAACAUUCCUCCGUCUAUGACAUGUAAAUAAUUUAAUACAUAUGACUAUUAUCUAAAUACACAUGUCAUACACUACUCUAGUUGAGCAGUCAACCUAAUAUCAUCAUAAAAAUCACAAUCCAAUGAAUGUGCAACAUCCAUAUCGUUAUCUAAAAUAUCACCCAAUCUAGUAUUGUAUGCAUUUCACUGAAUAAAUGGUAAUGUCCAUAGAAAAUGAAGAUAAUAAUAUGUUAGGUAGUAAUCUGGAAUUUGAGCCUAAGCCAGUUGUCGCCUCCUUGGUGUAUUACGUAUUGCGAAUUGGUAGGACACUUUCAAAUAUAUCAAGGAUUUCGUUUUCUGCUUAAACAAAAACUUUCAAAUAUAUCAAGGAUUUAGUUUUCUGCUCAAAUAUCAUGAUAUGUCUUGGUGUACUACGUAUUGCAAAUUGGUAGGACACACUAUGAUAAAAGCAUUCCAAAUUCGUAAGCCAAAACGGCACAUAAUCAUAAUACAAUAAAUUUCAAACCAAAACCAUUCAUUGUUCAAUGAACUCAUCGUGCCUAUGAAGGUGGCACAACACAUAUGUCGUGAUUGUGGUUGGUCCCUAGUAGUUGUUUUUAUAGGAAAUCAACCUUAAAUCGUUCAAGGAUUUUCAUAUUAGAGGCAUACACAAGUAAUAUGUAUCAUCAAUUUAAUGAAACAAAGCCUAAAUGUACAAAAAUUAGAUUAAAAUCCUAGACUUUUCAAUUUAUUACCAUUUGCCAAAAUACAUUGAUAAGCUUUUGAUGCAUGCAUAAGGGUUGUAAAACUCAUUCCUUUGAUAUCGAUCAAGGGUGAAAACUAGAGUGAAAUCAAAGAAUUCCUUGAAACCCACAUGAGCUCCAUUUGGGUGAAAAGAUGUGUGAAAAAGUAAAUUAUGUCUACUGAUAUUACGUGAUGCAUAUAGACGCGUCACAUUGAUGGAAUAAGCAUGGCAUGCUCAACAUUUAUAGCGUUUUUCAUUCACAACCAUUUCCCUAGACACAUCACUCUUAUUCCGGGAGCGCGUCACACUUGUCAUAAAUUUUCGAAGUCUAUAAUUUCUCAAAUCUGGUCGGUCGGGUAUAAAUUCUCACUAAAAUUAUUUAAUACCUGCACAAAAUAACAACAAAUACGCUUUGUGAUGUACCUUCCCAAAUUUCAAAUAAAAAUUUUCAUUUUAAAAUAAAGGCUAUGGUUGGGUUUUCUUAAGUCCAUGAACAAAGUUAUGAUCUUUAGAGAGCUUAUUGGACUUAGGGUUUAAGAUAUUGCAUUUUGGAGAUGUAUAAAUGGAUAAAGUUGGAAAUUUUAUCCAUUAAGUCCCCUGUGAGAUUUAGACAUGAAGUUAUAAUCCUUAAUUUGGAAGGAUUAAGUGUUUAGUGGAAUAUAGGACCCUGACCAGAAUUCACAGCGCGACUGACUUGUGUUCAUAACGUGAAAUCAUGGUUUUUGGGUUUUCAUGAAUAUUUUGCAGCCUAGUGGUCCUUACGUGACCAGUAGUUAGUCACGACAUGAUGAUCAUUGAUUGUUGACUCUUUUACUAAGUUGACUUUUAGUUGAAUUGUAGUUAUGAGUUAUAGAAUGAGUUUUAGCCUAUGAUUGCUUAUGCAAUUUGUGUAGCUGAUUUGUGGAACUUGGUUGGAUUCAACUCUUUGAUUUAGGUAAGUCUUCUCGCUAUACUAUGUAGAACACCAGGUGUUACGGUAUACACCUUAACAUUUUUGUGAAAGACUAUGGUGGCACCAUAACAUAUUUAUGAAACACUAUAGUGGUACCAUAAGACCUUUUAUGAAAGACUAUGGUGGUACCAUAUCACCUGUAUGAAAGACCAUGGUCAGAUCAUAGCAAGAAAGACUGCAGUUGGACUGCAGCAGCAGAAGUUAGUGUAAGAAUAUGGUUAGAUCAUAACAUUCACAUUGGGUAUAUGGUAUUUUAGGGGAACUAGCUAAGCUUUGUGUUUACGGUUUUAAAUUUGUAUGUUUCAAAUUGUUAUGUUAGCAAAUGGAAGGGCACAACGUGACUACAUAGCAUCCUUGGAUAUGUUUUAAGACUUUCUCAUUUUUAAAUUACUAUCUUGAUAUUUAGAUUUGGUUCAUGAUUGUUGUUAUGAAUAAAUUAUUAUUAUUCGAUCAUUGAGAAUAGAAUGGGAACCAACGAUUUUAUUUUAAAUGAAAAUUUUGCUUUGAAAUUUGGGACAUUAUAACAAUAUACAAGUAAUAAGAACAACUGCAAUUACUUUUAAAGUAAAUAAUAUUGAAAGCAAUAGUUUUGCAAAAACCCAAGAGGUAAUCAGAGAACAUACUCCAAUUACAAAUACACUCUUGAUCGAUAACCCUUUAUGCAAGAGUGUAUCAAUUGAUAUAAUAGAAGAUUAAAGAUCGUAUCUUAACAUAUAAGAUAGAUACAAAAGGAAAUACAAUCCCACAAAAAGUGAGAGUCUUCUAUUAUAUGGAAGCCUAUUUAUAGAAAGAUCCUUAUUUAAAUAAAGAAGGUAUAUCUUUAGUUCUUAAAUUUUACCCACUACCAGAUUUUUAUUAUGGUUCCUGAUGACAUCAACGGCUACACACGUUGAUUUCCAUCAGUGCAAAAUGUCAAUUGCAACAUAGCUUUGACACAUAAAAUCACAAGGGUCCUAAUUCCCCCCUAUUUGAUGAUUUCGGCGCUAACUAUACUAAAACAAAACUCUUUAUAGAAUACAUAGAAUUUUACAUAAGUAUAAUGUUUUACAAAAAGGAUACAAAAACCUAAGUGAAGAGCUUCAUAAUCCCUCUUUCAAAUUCAUUAGCUUCAAUUAAGAUUUAUGGCUUCACAAAGUUAUAAUUAUCUAGUAACUCUUGUCUAAUUUUGCUCAGUUCCAUUGAUAUGGAAACAUGAUAGUUUCAUGCAACUUCUUUGUAUUUGAUUAAAUACAUCAGGCUAAUUGAAUGCAAUGUUGAAGUUCUAGGAAGAUCACAAUGUCUUUGGAAACACAUGUUCCCAUUCUUAUCUUGAUAGAAUACCCGAAACAUUGGUCUGUCAAUGGGAUUUUAGCAUUCAGGAAGAACACUAGGUGAUAGGCUAUUGUGGAUCAAUUGAGAGCCAAAAUUGUCACACCCCCAAACCGAGAUGGCGGAAACAUUCGGGGGCGGAGGACGUCAUGUACAAUAUCACAACAAUUGCAUCAUAAUAACCAAAGUAAACACAACCAUUAGAUUGAAUAUACAUACAUAUAUAUAUAUAUANGGCAUUCACAUUUGUUCAAUACAUAGUUUGUAUAACUGCAAAAGCAUAACCAUAGUAGAAAAGACGCAACUCUAUAUGCUACCUCUUCUCAAAAGCCUGCGGGUGUACCUGUCUACUGGUUCCCUGAGAAUACAAGCGAUUUUGAAAGUGUAUCAACAUUUAAUUUGGUGAGUUCAUAAGAAUGUUUUUGUAACGAAAACCUGUGAUUUAAUCUGUGAAAAUGUUUGUAUGUUUCUCAAGAAAAUCCAAUAUUUUCAUUAGUAUUGAAAAGUAUUCUUAUGCCUAAGACCCAAAAUGUAAGUUCGUUACUAUAUUUUGAAGUUGUAUGUAAGAGAGUUUGUAUGCUUGGUUACCACCAGUCGUAUUGUAUAAUGUUGUUUUAUAUGAAAAACCUUUGUAUGAAAACCCUAGAUACCACUAGUAAUGUUUAGUAUGUUCUGUAUGAAAACCUUGGCUACCACCAGUAAUGUAUAGUAGUUUUAUUACUUAAAAUAAAACCAUAUGUUGUAUCCCAUGGAAUCCUAUAGUGGUAGUGAAUAGUAGUUCUAUUAAAUUAAAUAAAACUAAUGAAGAAUGAAAUCCCGUAAAAAAUGGUUUGUUUAUAAUGUUGUGAGUUUGGUAUAACCAUGCUUCAUAUGACCUAGUGACCUCUACGAAGUUCUUCAGGCGUCAGAACGGUAUGAUAGUUGUCACCCCAGGCAUGCCUGCCUAACUGCAGCUAGCAGUUUAGGUGUAGGAUUAUCGGUCCCGAAUAGAUCUAUUCAUAAAUCUCAUGCUCUCCCUCCAGGAGACUGUGGUAGGAUUUAGUUCCGCACCCCGAACGGUACAAUUGAAGUAGUGCCUUACAACCCUGUAUUAACUAGUUUACGUGUAGUGUUGUAGUGUUCUCUUGUACUUGAAACUGUAUGUAUACUUGUAGAGUAAAAAUAAUUAUACUUAAAUAAUUAUUUAGUAUUGUACUCUUGUGUUCAGAAAACAGUAUUGUACGCCAUAAACUAUAUCUAUCAUAGUUUAUAUGUUUGUUAAUGUGUAAGCUUUGGAAUUGAUAAACCGUGUGUUGAAUCCCAAACUAUACCUAUUAUAGUUUGCAUGUAUGUUAUGUAUUUUAUUCACGUAUUGUACUGAAAACCUUGAAAAUUAUAGUUGUAUGUUGAAAACUUCCCUUAUGCUCAACAUGUUACAAAAGGGAUAAAAUAUCCAAAUAUUUUAUAAAAUGUAGUGAUUUCUUGUUUGUAUCAAUUGCAUAAGUUUUAAAUCUGUUUAAAAUCUUUUGUUUAUGAAAAUAAAAAUUCCUUGUGUUUUGCUUGUAUUCUCCCCCCUGACAACAUUAAAAACAGUAAAGGUAUAGGGGUAUGAACUCACAAUUGAUUAUGUGCAUGUGCUCGACAGCAAAACCGGAAAUAUGACCCGCGAGUUCGUGUACACGGGAUUAACGAUAUCCUAAUGAUAAUUAAACACAUAAUUGUAUUUUAAUUAGUGAAACCAUUAAUUAAAGUGUCAGAAAACACUUGCUUUUGGGUUAGGAAUGUUAACGAGACUUGUUUGGAGUGGCAAAAGAGAGUUUUCGGCCAAGGUUCUCGGCUCAAGGUUGUUUUCGGCCGUGAACUGGGUUUGCGUUCGUGAACUGCGUUUGUGGCCUUUGAAGAUAUGAAGGUUGUUCUUGGUGUUCUUUGUGAAAAUAUGAAUAUUUGAAGGUUUGUUCUUGAGGAUAUGAAUGUUCUUGGGAGGUUCUUAGGAGCAACUUGAGAGAGUUUUCGGGUGAAAAAUGUGAGAAAUGAAAAAUCUAUCUGGGAAAAACCAUUAUAUCGGUUGGUUUAUGGCCGGAAAUGGGUUCUUGGUUGUAAACGGGUUUACAGCCUAGGGGUUAACGCCCUUAUACGCGUGGCUGGACGAGUUUGCUGAUUUUUCAAGGGAAAUCUUUAUUUUUCGAGUGUUUUUGUCUCUGAAAAAUUAUAUAACCUCUAAUUAUAUAUUUCAGAUUAUUUUCUAACCCACAAGAACUUAACGGAAUAAAUAAAAUUCAAAAUUUUAUUUAACGGAAAUUGACUUUUGUUGACUAGAAAGUAUCGGGUUGUUAUAUCAUCCCCCCGUUAGAGGGAAUUUUGUCCAGAAAUUCUUUCUAAAAUGAAUACAAUAAUGGAAUAGGGAAAGAGAUGCAGAUACUUCUAUUACAUCUAGUCUUCUCGCUCCCAAGUGAAUUCGGGUCCCCGCUUAGCAUUCCAGUGAACCUUCACUAUCGGGAUGCGACUUUGCUUCGUUCGUUUGACUUCCCAAUCCAUGAUUUCGACUGGUUCUUCCAAAAAGUUAAGAUUCUAGAUGAUCUUGAUCCCAUCGAGUGGGAUCACAAGGGUUUCAUCAGAUAAAAACUUUUUAAGGUUUGACACGUUGAAGACGGGAUGAAUGUUGCUAAGCUCUUGGGGUAAUUGGAGUUUGUUAGCUAUGGAACCGAUCCUUGCGAGGAUCUCGAAUGGUCCAAUGUAUCUUGGAUUCAGCUUUUCACACUUUCCGAAGUGUAUCAUGCCCUUCCAGGCUGAGAUCUUUAACAGAACGCGAUCACCAACCUGGAACUCCAAGGGAUUCGUCUUUUGUUGGCGUAACUCUUUUGUCUAUCCCUCGAGGCUUUUAGUCAUUCUAGAAUUUGCACGAUCUUUUCGAUGGUUUCUCGAAUGAUUUCAAGGCCAGUGAGAGUGCUAUCGGGACUUGUCCCUUAGCUAACUGCGUAUCUCCUACUUCAGCCCAGCACAAACGGGAUCUGUACUUACGGUCAUAGAGGGCUUCAAAUGGAGCAGUCUUGAUACGGGUGUGAUAGUUUUUGUUAUAGGAAAACACGACCAGGGGCAAAUGGAUGUCCCAUGACUUGCCAAAAUCAAUAAUACAUGCUCUCAACAUGUCUUCUAGCGUUUGAAUGGUUCUCUCACUUUGCCCGUCAGUCUAUGGAUGGUAAGAUAUGCUCAUAUCCAGCUUAGUUCCAAGAGCCUUCUACAGUGACUGCCAAAGUCUCAAGGUGAAUCUGCUAUCCAUAUCAGAGAUAAUGGAUAAGGGCACACAGUGCAAUCGUACUAUCUCAUGGAUGUAGGUCCGGGUCAGUCUCUCCAUCUUGUAUGUUUCUUUGAUUAACAGGAAGUGGGCGGACUUGGUCGGUCUAUCGACGAUUACCCGGAUACUGUCAUGGCCACUCAGGGUUUUGGGCAAUUUGGUGAUGAAGUCCAUCGUAAUAUGUUCCAACUUCCACUCAGGUAUUUCUGGCUGUUGAAGUAAACCUGAGGGCUUUUGAUAUUCCACCUUCACAUUGGCGCAAGUUAGGCACUUGCCCACGAAGGUAGCAAUUUCUGCUUUCAUGUUGGGCCACCAAUAGAGCUUUUUGAGAUCCAGAUACAUCUUAUCUGAACCUGGGUGAACGGAGUAUCGAGUUCUGUGACCUUCAUUUAUGACAAUCUCCCUGUAAGCACCGAACUUUAAGGUCCAGAUCCGGUUCAUGAAGUAGUAAACUCCAUCUUCCUUGAUCCCUAAGUUCUUCUCCAUUCCCCUCAAGGCUUCAUCCGUCAUGUUCUCCAGUUUCAACGCUUCCAGCUGAGCCUCUCUGAUUUGGGCAGACAGAUGGGAAUGGAUUGUCAUUGUUAGUGCCUUCACUCUGUGACCAAAAUCCUCUUUUCGGCCAAGGGCAUCCGCAACCACAUUGGCCUUGCCGGGAUGAUAGCGUAUUUCACACUCAUAAUCAUUGAUUUUCUCUACCCAUCCUCGUUGUUGUUGGAUUAGUGUCUAAGGCUGUAACUAUAUUUGGUAAGUACUUGACCCGGUUGUGCAUGGUCAUUUUGGGUUGCCUUCACCAUAGCAACUUGACAGGGUGAUUUAUAUAGAGAGAAGAGAUAUUAUUAAUAUAUUAUAAGAAUAAUAUGUUAAAGGAAUAAUAAUAUUAUUUGAUUAAUAUAAGUCAUAAAUUAAUUAGGAAUUAAUUUGGUGACUUAAAGAGAUUAAUUAAAUAAAGGGGCAUAAACUGUCAAAUGUGUGAUAGUUGUAUUUUGAGCUAAGAAUCCUUAUGGAUAUGGGGUGGAUGAUUUUACGGAUGUGGAUCACCUAGAAAUCCUCCAAGUCCUUAUCUAAAAGGGAUAUUGGAUUGCUUUGAGGCUAAGUUAUCCAAUUAGGGUUUUAGGGUGAAACCCUAGGAGCUCAUAGUAUAAAUAGACCCUUAGGGUUGUGGAAAUCGGCUACCUUGUUAUUGGAGUAACCCUAGAGCCGAUUUCCCUCUUCCUUACCUCUUUCAAAUCAUCUUCUUGCUAGUUGGUGUUUGUAAGCCAUUAGAGGAGUGACAUUUGUUACACUAAGCUCCAAGAAGAAGAAGGUUUUCAAGCAAGUAACUCAAGGUAUUAUUCUAGAUCUGUUUUAAUAUGUCUUAUUGUUAGUUUACAUUAGAUCUAGCAAUGAAAUUUUGGAUAUAUAUUGCAUGUUCAAUUAGAGAAACCUAGAUCCAAGUUAUAGGGUUGUAUGUGCACAUAGGAAAGUUCUUAUGUCCAAAACCCAUAAGUGGUAUCAGAGACUUGAUUGUUUUCAAUUGAAUGUGAUGCUUAACUGCUUUGCUUGCUGAAAAUCGUUUUUCUUGCCCUCUGUCCGGCCCAACUCGGCGAGUCAGUGUUUGGACUCGGCGAGUUGGCCCUACAUGGCGAGUCCAAAGCUUGACUCAGCGAGUCCGAGUGUGAAUCAGAGGAUAAUUCAGAAUUUUGUUGCUGUUUUGUCUUGGAUUGAUACCUAAAUCGUUUUAUUAUGUAAAAAUCCGAAUUAUAACCUAAUUUAAUGAUUAUCCUUGACAUAACAAUAGAUAAUUUCAAAUCUUUUAAAUAUUGAUUAUUUAUAUGAUAAAUAUUGGACUAUUUAAGAUUAUUUGGUAAUUAUCUAAUGACUAAAACUGGAUUAGGUCAAAUAUAGAUAAUUAUGAAAUUAAUUGUUUAAUUUGAAUUAUUUGUUAUUUAAUCCCUAUUAUUUUGAAAAAGUUCAAAAUUUAUCCCGAAGUUUUGAAAUUUGAAUUUUGUGAUUAAUAGUUUAAUUUAGAAGAAUUUAAAUUUCAACCCCUAGAGUUUUACAAGUUUAAAAUUCAACCCUAUACUAUUAUAUUAUUAAAAGCUUAAUAAAUAUAUAAGUAAAAUUAAAAUGCUAGUCUUACCGUUAGUAGGCCUCAUUCACGAAAUCGGUCUAUAAGGUGGGUAUAAGGUUGNGUAUAAGGUGUUUGCCUAUAAAAUGGCGCUUAAGGGGUGUACACUCACACCACCGCUUGCUUGACUGGUGGAGGGUCGUUAGCCGAACGGGUAGGAUAGGGCAAUCCUCUCCUCAUUAAUAAGUAUAAUGAAUCUAUAAAGUAACUAAACUAUUUUAUAAAAUUCCCAAUCUUAGUUACUUUAGGAAAAGUGAAUUGAUGCAAUCCCAUGAAAUUACACUUUGCACCCUUGCUAAGAAGUUAGUGGAGCGUGUGUGGUUUACCGGCACACUAAUUGGUUCUAAGCAAAGGUGGCAAAGGGUGAUUCAUUGUUUAUCAUAGUUCGAUGGAGCGUGUGUGGUUUACCGGCACAUCGAAUAGAUGAUUGUAACAAUGAAGGCACCAUGUAGAUUUGCAUGGUAAUUCACACCCGCUUUGUGAUCCUCGGUAUCCCAGUCACAAACUAGAGGGGCAUAUCGAGAUUUAAACAUGUCAUUGAAAGGUUCAAUGAAUCUCUAAAAUCUAGGAAUUCUCAAUAAAACUUAAGGUUAUGUUUUCGUGGUGAAGAAUUAGUGAAUCGUCAUUCACUUACCUCCAAAUUAUUUGCAUGAUUGGAUUACGGCAUCCCUUUUCUAAUAUGUAAAUAAUGUUGUUGGGUCCUAGCCCUAAUUUUUCAUUUUGGGUGUUUAAUUAGGGAUCCAANNNNNNNNNNNNNNNNNNNNNNNNNNNNNNNNNNNNNNNNNNNNNNNNNNNNNNNNNNNNNNNNNNNNNNNNNNNNNNNNNNNNNNNNNNNNNNNNNNNNNNNNNNNNNNNNNNNNNNNNNNNNNNNNNNNNNNNNNNNNNNNNNNNNNNNNNNNNNNNNNNNNNNNNNNNNNNNNNNNNNNNNNNNNNNNNNNNNNNNNNNNNNNNNNNNNNNNNNNNNNNNNNNNNNNNNNNNNNNNNNNNNNNNNNNNNNNNNNNNNNNNNNNNNNNNNNNNNNNNNNNNNNNNNNNNNNNNNNNNNNNNNNNNNNNNNNNNNNNNNNNNNNNNNNNNNNNNNNNNNNNNNNNNNNNNNNNNNNNNNNNNNNNNNNNNNNNNNNNNNNNNNNNNNNNNNNNNNNNNNNNNNNNNNNNNNNNNNNNNNNNNNNNNNNNNNNNNNNNNNNNNNNNNNNNNNNNNNNNNNNNNNNNNNNNNNNNNNNNNNNNNNNNNNNNNNNNNNNNNNNNNNNNNNNNNNNNNNNNNNNNNNNNNNNNNNNNNNNNNNNNNNNNNNNNNNNNNNNNNNNNNNNNNNNNNNNNNNNNNNNNNNNNNNNNNNNNNNNNNNNNNNNNNNNNNNNNNNNNNNNNNNNNNNNNNNNNNNNNNNNNNNNNNNNNNNNNNNNNNNNNNNNNNNNNNNNNNNNNNNNNNNNNNNNNNNNNNNNNNNNNNNNNNNNNNNNNNNNNNNNNNNNNNNNNNNNNNNNNNNNNNNNNNNNNNNNNNNNNNNNNNNNNNNNNNNNNNNNNNNNNNNNNNNNNNNNNNNNNNNNNNNNNNNNNNNNNNNNNNNNNNNNNNNNNNNNNNNNNNNNNNNNNNNNNNNNNNNNNNNNNNNNNNNNNNNNNNNNNNNNNNNNNNNNNNNNNNNNNNNNNNNNNNNNNNNNNNNNNNNNNNNNNNNNNNNNNNNNNNNNNNNNNNNNNNNNNNNNNNNNNNNNNNNNNNNNNNNNNNNNNNNNNNNNNNNNNNNNNNNNNNNNNNNNNNNNNNNNNNNNNNNNNNNNNNNNNNNNNNNNNNNNNNNNNNNNNNNNNNNNNNNNNNNNNNNNNNNNNNNNNNNNNNNNNNNNNNNNNNNNNNNNNNNNNNNNNNNNNNNNNNNNNNNNNNNNNNNNNNNNNNNNNNNNNNNNNNNNNNNNNNNNNNNNNNNNNNNNNNNNNNNNNNNNNNNNNNNNNNNNNNNNNNNNNNNNNNNNNNNNNNNNNNNNNNNNNNNNNNNNNNNNNNNNNNNNNNNNNNNNNNNNNNNNNNNNNNNNNNNNNNNNNNNNNNNNNNNNNNNNNNNNNNNNNNNNNNNNNNNNNNNNNNNNNNNNNNNNNNNNNNNNNNNNNNNNNNNNNNNNNNNNNNNNNNNNNNNNNNNNNNNNNNNNNNNNNNNNNNNNNNNNNNNNNNNNNNNNNNNNNNNNNNNNNNNNNNNNNNNNNNNNNNNNNNNNNNNNNNNNNNNNNNNNNNNNNNNNNNNNNNNNNNNNNNNNNNNNNNNNNNNNNNNNNNNNNNNNNNNNNNNNNNNNNNNNNNNNNNNNNNNNNNNNNNNNNNNNNNNNNNNNNNNNNNNNNNNNNNNNNNNNNNNNNNNNNNNNNNNNNNNNNNNNNNNNNNNNNNNNNNNNNNNNNNNNNNNNNNNNNNNNNNNNNNNNNNNNNNNNNNNNNNNNNNNNNNNNNNNNNNNNNNNNNNNNNNNNNNNNNNNNNNNNNNNNNNNNNNNNNNNNNNNNNNNNNNNNNNNNNNNNNNNNNNNNNNNNNNNNNNNNNNNNNNNNNNNNNNNNNNNNNNNNNNNNNNNNNNNNNNNNNNNNNNNNNNNNNNNNNNNNNNNNNNNNNNNNNNNNNNNNNNNNNNNNNNNNNNNNNNNNNNNNNNNNNNNNNNNNNNNNNNNNNNNNNNNNNNNNNNNNNNNNNNNNNNNNNNNNNNNNNNNNNNNNNNNNNNNNNNNNNNNNNNNNNNNNNNNNNNNNNNNNNNNNNNNNNNNNNNNNNNNNNNNNNNNNNNNNNNNNNNNNNNNNNNNNNNNNNNNNNNNNNNNNNNNNNNNNNNNNNNNNNNNNNNNNNNNNNNNNNNNNNNNNNNNNNNNNNNNNNNNNNNNNNNNNNNNNNNNNNNNNNNNNNNNNNNNNNNNNNNNNNNNNNNNNNNNNNNNNNNNNNNNNUCGUCUUACCGCUAGUACGCCUCAUUCACGAAGCCGGUCUAUAAGGUGGGUAUAAGGUUGUUGCCUAUAAAAUGGCAACUUAAUGGGUGUCCACUCUCACCCACCGCUUGCUUGACCGGUGGAGGGUCGUUAGCCGAACGGGUAAGACAAGGACUUAUAAAUUCUCAUUAAAAGUAUGAUGAAUAUUAUAAAGUAACUAAAUGUUUUAUUAAAUUCCCAAUCUUAGUUACUUUAGGAAAAAUGUGAAUAAGGUGCUAAUCCAUGAAAUUACACUUUACACUUUGUUUAAGUCGUUGGUGGAGCGUGUGUGGUUAACCGGCACACUAACUUGGACUUAACAAGGUAGGUAAAGGGUGACUUAAGGUUUAUUAUAGUAUCGGUGGAGCGUGUGUGGUUUACCGGCACAUCGAUUGAGUGAUAAACUUUAAGGGUACCAAGUGAUUUGCAUGGUUACUUCACACCUCGUUUUGUGAUCCUCGGUAUCCCAGUCACAAAACUUGGAGGGCACACUCGAGAUUGAAACAUGCCUUUGAAAAGUUCAUUGAAUCUCAAAGAAUCUAGGAAUUUCUAAGAACCAAUCAAAAAACCUAAUAUUUAAUAUUUCGGUUUUCGUGGUGGAAAUUGGUGAAUCGUCAUUCACCUACCUUUCAAAUAUGUUAUAGCUUGGAUUACGGCAUACCUCUUCUAAGUUAUAAUAUAUUGUGAUUGGAUCCUAGCCUUAAUAUUACAUUUGGGUGUUUUAUUAAGGACUCUCUUAAUAUCUAAACUAAUCUUGUCCUCUUCCUUCAGAUGUCUUCAAACAAUGCUGCUUCUGGCUCUAAUCCUAAUGGCUCCUUUACCCUUAUGAACUUCUGUGGGAAAGUCACUUUUGAUGGAUCCAACUUCAGUGAAUGGAUCAGAAACAUCAGGAUGAUUACCCGCUACGAGGACAAAGAAUAUGUCCUUGACAAGCAGCAUAAGGAGAUUCAUGAGACCACUGCAACUCCCCAGGAGAUCGCUGACUUUUAGGCACAUGAAAGGGAUGCUACCAAGGUGGCAUGCAUCAUGAUGGCCACGAUGACAGCAGAACUCCAAAAGUCCUAUGAGGAUUUCUACCCUUAUGAAAUGCACCAAGAUCUGAUGGAAAGAUACCAUCAAAGUGCACGACAAGAAAGGUAUGAAAUCAUCUACUCCAUGAUAACAACCAUGAUGAAGGAUAGGGAAUCCGUCACGCGCCACAUGCAGAAAAUGCAAAGGUGUGUGGAUCGAUUGUUGAAGCUUAGUGUAAACUUCCCUGAGGAGCUUGCAAUAGAUAUCAUUUUGCACUCCUUACCAUUGUGCUAUGAUCAAUUCCACAUGACAUAUCACAUGAAUAAGGAAGAGGUCAGACUUCGCAAACUUCAGGGAUUUCUAAGACCGCUGAAACAGGUCUUAAGAGGAAGUCGGUUGUUAACACUCCUACUCCAAACUCUACUUUGGUUUUGGCAAUCAGGAAAAGUAGAGGGAAGAAGAGAAAGAGCUCUUCAAUGGGUACCAAGGCUCGGACCCUUGAUGGCUCUUCUUC